RNAcentral lists this ribosomal RNA (1898 nucleotides) under human gut metagenome. RNAcentral's name for it is "bacterial LSU rRNA". It matches the Rfam family "Bacterial large subunit ribosomal RNA", at positions 1039 to 2925 of the family's 2925-position model. The record is from RNAcentral.
CUAAGGUCCCAAAUGCCGUGCUAAGUGGCGAAGGAUGUGGCGUUUCAUAAACAACCAGGAUGUUGGCUCAGAAGCAGCCACCAUUUAAAGAGUGCGUAAUAGCUCACUGGUCGAGAGACGCUGCGCCGAAAAUGUCCGGGGCUCAAGCACGGAACCGAAGCUAUGGCAUUGCGUAAGCAAUGGGUAGGGGAGCGUUCUUAUGGGGAAGAAGCAUUACCGUAAGGAGAUGUGGACACAUAAGAAGUGAGAAUGCCGGUAUGAGUAUCGAAAAGAAAGGUGAGAAUCCUUUCCACCGAAAGCCCGAGGGUUCCUGAGCAACGAUCGUCGUCUCAGGGUAAGUCGGGACCUAAGCCGAGGCACAGACGCAUAGGCGAUGGACAACAGGUUGAAAUUCCUGUACCGGAUGGAGUCAUUUGAGCAAUGGAGUGACGCAGGAGGGCACAUGAUCGCGCGACUGGAAGAGCGCGUCCAAGUGCGUAUGUUGAAUCGGAGGCAAAUCCCCGAUUCUGAAAGCAGAGACAUGAUGGGGAGUUAUAAGCGAUUAUGACGAACUCAUGGAUCCCACACUGCCAAGAAAAACUUCUAGCGAGACGAAAUCCGCCCGUACCGUAAACCGACACAGGUAGGCGGGGAGAGAAUCCUAAGGUGCGCGGGAAAACCCUCGUUAAGGAACUCGGCAAAUUGCAUCCGUAACUUCGGGAGAAGGAUGGCCCUGAGUAGGCGAAGUGCAGAAACGCACGGAACAGAAAAGGGUGGCAGAAAAGAGGCCCAAGCAACUGUUUACCAAAAACACAGGUGCCUGCGAAAGCGAAAGCUGAAGUAUAGGUGCUGACGCCUGCCCGGUGCUGGAAGGUUAAGGAGAGAGGUUAGCGCAAGCGAAGCUUUGAACUGAAGCCCCAGUGAACGGCGGCCGUAACUAUAACGGUCCUAAGGUAGCGAAAUUCCUUGUCGGGUAAGUUCCGACCCGCACGAAAGGUGUAACGAUUUGGGCACUGUCUCAACGAGGGACCCGGUGAAAUUGAAAUACCUGUGAAGAUGCAGGUUACCCGCGACUGGACAGAAAGACCCCAUGGAGCUUUACUGCAGCUUGAGAUUGAAUCCCGGUGGCAGACGCACAGGAUAGGUGGGAGGCUUUGAGAUAGUGACUUUGGUUGCUAUGGAGCCGACGUUGGGAUACCACCCUUCUGUUGCUGGGAUUCUAACGCGAAGAUUAACAACCUUGCGGACCAUCUCAGGUAGGCGGUUUGACUGGGGCGGUCGCCUCCGAAAGAGUAACGGAGGCGCCCAAAGGUUCCCUCAGGCCGGACAGAAACCGGCCGAAGAGUGCAAAGGCAGAAGGGAGCUUGACUGCGAGACAGACAAGUCGAGCAGAGACGAAAGUCGGGCUUAGUGAUCCGGUGGUACUGCGUGGAAAGGCCAUCGCUCAACGGAUAAAAGCUACCCUGGGGAUAACAGGCUAAUCUCUCCCAAGAGUUCAUAUCGACGGGGAGGUUUGGCACCUCGAUGUCGGCUCAUCACAUCCUGGAGCUGGAGUAGGUUCCAAGGGUUGGGCUGUUCGCCCAUUAAAGUGGUACGCGAGCUGGGUUCAAAACGUCGUGAGACAGUUUGGUUCAUAUCCAUCGCGGGCGCAAGAAGUUUGAGGGAGGCUGCUCCUAGUACGAGAGGACCGGAGUGGACGGAUCAACGGUGUACCAGUUGUCACGCCAGUGGCACGGCUGGAAAGCCGCAUCCGGAAAGGAUAAACGCUGAAAGCAUCUAAGCGUGAAGCCCGUCCCAAGAUGAGACUUCUCAUCAGCAAUGAGUAAGACCCCUUAAAGACGAUGAGGUUGAUAGGCUGUGAGUGGAAGAGCCGCGAGGCUUGGAGCGACGCAGUACUAAUAGGUCGAGGUCUUAACUUA